This 24-nucleotide non-coding RNA is filed under the name Cricetulus griseus (Chinese hamster). Lineage: Eukaryota; Metazoa; Chordata; Mammalia; Rodentia; Cricetidae. The record is from RNAcentral.
AUCUGGACCAUUAAGAAAAAUGGG